UUGCACGCUAGCGGGAUGCUUUACACAUGCAAGUCGCACGGCAGCGCGGACUUCGGUCUGGCGGCGAGUGGCGAACGGGUGAGUAAUGUAUCGGAACGUGCCCAGUAGCGGGGGAUAACUACGCGAAAGCGUAGCUAAUACCGCAUACGCCCUACGGGGGAAAGCAGGGGAUCGUAAGACCUUGCACUAUUGGAGCGGCCGAUAUCGGAUUAGCUAGUUGGUGAGGUAACGGCUCACCAAGGCGACGAUCCGUAGCUGGUUUGAGAGGACGACCAGCCACACUGGGACUGAGACACGGCCCAGACUCCUACGGGAGGCAGCAGUGGGGAAUUUUGGACAAUGGGGGCAACCCUGAUCCAGCCAUCCCGCGUGUGCGAUGAAGGCCUUCGGGUUGUAAAGCACUUUUGGCAGGAAAGAAACGUCGCGGGCUAAUACCCCGUGGAACUGACGGUACCUGCAGAAUAAGCACCGGCUAACUACGUG
This 483-nucleotide ribosomal RNA is filed under the name uncultured bacterium. Its description in RNAcentral is "partial 16S ribosomal RNA". It matches the Rfam family "Bacterial small subunit ribosomal RNA", at positions 30 to 507 of the family's 1533-position model. The record is from RNAcentral.